UGAACGCUAGCGGCAGGCCUAACACAUGCAAGUCGAGGGGUAACAGGGAUUGCUUGCAAUCCGCUGACGACCGGCGCACGGGUGCGUAACGCGUAUAGAAUCUACCUUAUACUGAGGGAUAGCCUUUGGAAACGAAGAUUAAUACCUCAUGGUAUGUAAAGAUGGCAUCAUCCUUACAUUAAAGGUUACGGUAUAAGAUGACUAUGCGUUCUAUUAGCUAGAUGGUGUGGUAACGGCACACCAUGGCAACGAUAGAUAGGGGCCCUGAGAGGGGGAUCCCCCACACUGGUACUGAGACACGGACCAGACUCCUACGGGAGGCAGCAGUGAGGAAUAUUGGGCAAUGGAGGCAACUCUGACCCAGCCAUGCCGCGUGCAGGAAGACUGCCCUAUGGGUUGUAAACUGCUUUUAUACAGGAAGAAACAGCGCUACGUGUAGCGCCUUGACGGUACUGUAAGAAUAAGGAUCGGCUAACUCC
This 479-nucleotide ribosomal RNA is filed under the name uncultured bacterium. RNAcentral describes it as "bacterial SSU rRNA". It matches the Rfam family "Bacterial small subunit ribosomal RNA", at positions 30 to 504 of the family's 1533-position model. The record is from RNAcentral.